GCGUGAGUGAUGAAGGCCUUCGGGUCGUAAAGCUCUGUCAGAGGGGAAGAACCUCCUGUCGGUUAAUACCCGACGGGCCUGACGGUACCCUCAAAGGAAGCACCGGCUAACUCCGUGCCAGCAGCCGCGGUAAUACGGAGGGUGCAAGCGUUGUUCGGAAUUAUUGGGCGUAAAGCGCGUGCAGGCGGCUUGCUAAGUCUGAUGUGAAAGCCCCGGGCUUAACCUGGGAAGUGCAUUGGAAACUGGCAAACUUGAGUACGGGAGAGGGAAGUGGAAUUCCGAGUGUAGGGGUGAAAUCCGU
This 301-nucleotide ribosomal RNA is filed under the name uncultured bacterium. RNAcentral describes it as "bacterial SSU rRNA". It matches the Rfam family "Bacterial small subunit ribosomal RNA", at positions 399 to 691 of the family's 1533-position model. The record is from RNAcentral.